UGACAAAGUCAUUAGUAUGUUUUUUAGCGUGCAUGCAAGUUUGUCGGUCAAACCCAUCAAAACAUUCAGAGCGAAAAAAGAAAAAAAAUCACUGCAACAGAAAUCAAACGCAAAUCCAUGUACUGAUGCUAGUUUUAAAUGAAAUUCGGCCGCGGUGGAACAGCAGCGCUAUCAUGAUUUCGUAUGUGAAGAUGGUCAUCGGCUUGGUGGCAGCUGCAAAAACAGCCGAACUCGCCGCUGCUGGUUACUCUUGGCAAUGAAUGAACCAGCUGCAAGGAGAACCCAUUGUUCCGGAUCACCUAUACGUGGACAUCAAACCAAAAAGUCUGAUUCACCAGCAUCAAGCGUAGGCCAUCCUGAACAACAGCCUGGAUCCAAGAAGCAAGCGCUGAAAGAAAGCCAUCUCUGUGAGGUUUAUUUAGCUACGUAAUUGCUGCAUUCAUGGACUUUAAUCAGAC
Molecule: long non-coding RNA, 458 nt
Organism: Aedes aegypti (yellow fever mosquito)
Lineage: Eukaryota; Metazoa; Arthropoda; Insecta; Diptera; Culicidae
Exons: 3
Source: RefSeq, a predicted model, not a curated record